AGCUUGAAGUUUUAUUUUAGGUAAAUUCUGCCCAGCGUAAAUAUUAGCGGCCGCAGUACCUUGACUGUGCUAAGGUAGCAUAAUCAAUUGGCUUUUAAUUGAAGUCUGGAAUGAACGGAUUAAUGAGGACUUGCUGUCUCUAAAUAAUUUAUUUGAAAUUAUUUAUUAAGUGAAAAUACUUAUAAUUAGAAAAAAGACGAGAAGACCCUUAGAAUUUUUAAUAAAAUAUAGAUUAAUAUUAUUUUUUUGUUGGGGCGACAAAGAAACAUUUAAACUUUCAUUAUUUCAUGACAUUAAGAUUUGAAAGAAUAAAUUACCUUAGGGAUAACAGCAUAAUUAAUAAAUUAGUUUGUGACCUCGAUGUUGGACUAGGAACUAGUUGACUAACAGUCAAAAUAGAUUGUUCUGUUCGAACAGAACAU
This 422-nucleotide ribosomal RNA is filed under the name Galba obrussa. RNAcentral's name for it is "partial 16S ribosomal RNA". It matches the Rfam family "Archaeal large subunit ribosomal RNA", at positions 1920 to 2662 of the family's 2987-position model. The record is from RNAcentral. Lineage: Eukaryota; Metazoa; Mollusca; Gastropoda; Lymnaeidae.